Molecule: unclassified non-coding RNA, 391 nt
Filed under: soil metagenome
Description: partial contains 5.8S ribosomal RNA, internal transcribed spacer 2, and large subunit ribosomal RNA
Rfam family: 5.8S ribosomal RNA (bases 1-122)
Source: RNAcentral
GAUGAAGAACGCAGUGAAAUGCGAUACUUGGUGUGAAUUGCAGAAUCCCGUGAACCAUCGAGUCUUUGAACGCAAGUUGCGCCCGAAGCCAUUAGGCCGAGGGCACGCCUGCCUGGGCGUCACACGUCGUUGCCCCCCCAUCUACUCCUUCGGGAUUGCGGGGGGCGGAUGAUGGCCUCCCGUGCGCCUCGUCGCGCGGUUGGCAUAAAUGCCAAGUCCUCGGCGACACACGCCACGACAAUCGGUGGUUGCGAAACCUCGGUUGCCCGUCGUGUGCGGUCGUCGCGCAUCGAGGGCUCGAAAAAAUUGCUGGGCUCCGGCUCGGCUUUCAACGCGACCCCAGGUCAGGCGGGGUUACCCGCUGAAUUUAAGCAUAUCAAUAAGCGGAGGA